UGUUUGAUCAUGGCUCAGAUUGAACGCUGGCGGCAGGCCUAACACAUGCAAGUCGAGCGGUAACAUGUCUAGCUUGCUAGAUGAUGACGAGCGGCGGACGGGUGAGUAAUGCUUGGGGAUCUGCCUUAGAGUGGAGGAUAACCAUUGGAAACGAUGGCUAAUACUGCAUAGUAUCUGCGGGUUAAAGGGGGCUUCGGCUCUUGCUUUAAGAUGAACCCAAGUGGGAUUAGCUAGUUGGUGAGGUAAUGGCUCACCAAGGCGACGAUCCCUAGCUGGUCUGAGAGGAUGAUCAGCCACACUGGAACUGAGACACGGUCCAGACUCCUACGGGAGGCAGCAGUGGGGAAUAUUGCACAAUGGGCGAAAGCCUGAUGCAGCCAUGCCGCGUGUGUGAAGAAGGCCCUAGGGUUGUAAAGCACUUUCAGUCAGGAGGAAAGGUUAGUAGUUAAUACCUGCUAGCUGUGACGUUACUGACAGAAGAAGCACCGGCUAACUUCGUGCCAGCAGCCGCGGUAAUACGAGGGGUGCAAGCGUUAAUCGGAAUUACUGGGCGUAAAGCGUUCGUAGGCGGUUGAAUAAGCAAGACGUGAAAGCCCAGGGCUCAACCUUGGAACUGCAUUUUGAACUGUUCGACUAGAGUACUGUAGAGGGGGGUAGAAUUUCA
This 664-nucleotide ribosomal RNA is filed under the name uncultured Vibrionaceae bacterium. RNAcentral's name for it is "bacterial SSU rRNA". It matches the Rfam family "Bacterial small subunit ribosomal RNA", at positions 10 to 671 of the family's 1533-position model. The record is from RNAcentral. Lineage: Bacteria; Pseudomonadati; Pseudomonadota; Gammaproteobacteria; Vibrionales; Vibrionaceae.